UCGAGGGGUAUGGCAGCAAUGCCGGAGACCGGCAAACGGGUGCGGAACACGUACAGAACCUUCCCCAGAGCGGGGGAUAGCCCCUGGAAACGGGGAUUAAUACCCCAUGGCAUAUCUUUGUGGCAUCACAUGGAUAUUAAAGGUUUACCACUCUGGGAUGGCUGUGCGGCCGAUUAGGUAGUUGGCAGGGUAACGGCCUACCAAGCCUUCGAUCGGUAACUGGUGUGAGAGCACGACCAGUCACACGGGCACUGAGACACGGGCCCGACUCCUACGGGAGGCAGCAGUAAGGAAUAUUGGUCAAUGGGCGGAAGCCUGAACCAGCCAUGCCGCGUGGAGGAUGACUGCCCUCNNGGUUGUAAACUNCUNNNNCGGG
This 376-nucleotide ribosomal RNA is filed under the name uncultured soil bacterium. RNAcentral's name for it is "bacterial SSU rRNA". It matches the Rfam family "Bacterial small subunit ribosomal RNA", at positions 62 to 442 of the family's 1533-position model. The record is from RNAcentral.